This 71-nucleotide transfer RNA is filed under the name Amborella trichopoda. It matches the Rfam family "tRNA". From Rfam's summary of the family: Transfer RNA (tRNA) molecules are approximately 80 nucleotides in length. Their secondary structure includes four short double-helical elements and three loops (D, anti-codon, and T loops). The record is from Rfam by way of RNAcentral. Lineage: Eukaryota; Viridiplantae; Streptophyta; Magnoliopsida; Amborellales; Amborellaceae.
UCCUCAGUAGCUCAGUGGUAGAGCUGUCGGCUGUUAACUGACUAGUCGUAGGUUCGAUCACAUUUGUAGCA